Ostrea edulis (European flat oyster) is the source of this 974-nucleotide long non-coding RNA. RefSeq lists it as uncharacterized. The record is from RefSeq and is a predicted model, not a curated record. NCBI's taxonomy places the organism in Eukaryota, Metazoa, Mollusca, Bivalvia, Ostreida, Ostreidae. The transcript is spliced from 3 exons.
GACUUAACUCGACAGUCCAUCAGCGCGAAACAUUUUGACAGACCUAAUCACAAUAUGAAUCAACAACUGCACAUUUUUUUCUUAGAGGAGCAUUGAUAUUGAUAUUAAUUGAGCAAUUAUUUAAUGACGAGUGUGUGAAGAGAGAUUCCAAGUGGUUUUUGUUGGUGAAUAUGGGCAUGGCUAGACUAUCGUUUUCCACGCGUGCAAGGACUCGAGUCUCAUAGACAUUGGAGGCACUUAUUUCACCUGAGACACGGACAGUAGACGUUGACAGAGUGAAUGUGGAGGUAGGCCUAUAACUAAUAGACCGUGUGGGCUGGGUUUCUGUGAACUGGCAUAAUGCACCGGGUGACAUAGGUGUAUGAGGAAUUUGUGACUGUUGUUGAGUGUGUGGUAGUUGUUCAAGGAAUGUGUAUUUUUGUGUCCGGUCACAUACACCUGGACAUUAUCAGGGACAUUACAAUCUGUAAUUUUUUGUACAAGAGCUUUGCAGAUGCUAGUGUUCUUCAAUCGAGGCGAGUCUUGCAUCAGCCACAUGGACAUUUCCAGAACGAAGCGAGACAACGUCAUACCAAUCGAGCGUCCUAUGGUCUUUCCGGCAAGCCGAUACGAUGCGAUUGGUUUACAAUAUGAUCAGCAUAAAAUAUGUGGCAUGUAAAUAACCAACCAGGGCAAACUCAUACCAAAAUGGAGGAAACACGAGAGUAUGACAAAAUAGGUGUCAGAGAUACGGACGACUAUCAAGAGCUGUCGCCCACUGUCACUGACCAAUCUCCUCAAGACAGAGCUUCCGCUUAUAUCAACUUAUGGUGAUAAGGAUAACAUUUUUCGUCCAAAUAAUUUGUAUCUUGUUUUGAGAUACGGUAGGGACCACCUGUUACCUAAUUGACAAUAAUAUCAAGUUUUUUUAUGGUUUGAUAGAAUAAAGGCAUGAAGUGUUAUCCGGAAAUAAAUAUAUUUUAUCGACACUGAAA